AGUGAGCCGCUCCUAAGAGAUGGGGAAACUCCAUUCGGAAGAGGGCGGUUCACUCCGCCCCGCCUAUCGAAAGGGAACCAGGUUAAUAUUCCUGGGCCGGCGGCGUGGGUACUGCGGCAACGCCUCAGCGGCGUGGGGAGACACUCGACGGAGGUCCGGCCAGCGUUCUCUUUGCUGGUUAACAGCCUGUUACCCUGGAAUCGGUUUACCCGGAG
This 215-nucleotide ribosomal RNA is filed under the name Blepharisma japonicum. RNAcentral describes it as "partial Eukaryotic large subunit ribosomal RNA". It matches the Rfam family "Eukaryotic large subunit ribosomal RNA", at positions 1534 to 1740 of the family's 3401-position model. Lineage: Eukaryota; Ciliophora; Heterotrichea; Heterotrichida; Blepharismidae. The record is from RNAcentral.